UGGAAGACUAGUGAUUUUGUUGUUCUUUAAUUGAGUAACAAGGAAUCACUAAUCAUCCUA
RNAcentral lists this microRNA precursor (60 nucleotides) under Blattella germanica (German cockroach). RNAcentral's name for it is "Bge-Mir-7_pre stem-loop". The record is from RNAcentral. Lineage: Eukaryota; Metazoa; Arthropoda; Insecta; Blattodea; Blattellidae.